RNAcentral lists this long non-coding RNA (492 nucleotides) under Fukomys damarensis (Damara mole-rat). RNAcentral describes it as "lncRNA (ENSFDAG00000025231.1)". The record is from RNAcentral. Lineage: Eukaryota; Metazoa; Chordata; Mammalia; Rodentia; Bathyergidae.
CUAAUGUUCAAAUUAAUAGAAUAUAUGCAAUUAUGUAUGUUUUUCUGCCUAGGAAGGAAUCAUUACAAAAUCUUGGAAUUAUUUUAAAAGAUCAAGAGGCCUUAAGUAAUGGAAAAACAAAUGAAGAAAAACAAAAGAUUUGGCAGAAUAUAAUGCUGGAUCAUUUGGAAGAAGAUCCUGGAGUGGAAUGAAAAUGGAGCUAGGUGACAAGGUCAAAUCUCACUUGCACGACAUCAGAAUAUGACUAUGCUCAUCAUUUCUGUCUCUGAGUAUUCUGUUAUAUGAUAGAAGAAGCAGUUCCAUUCCACAGAAAAUUAUAGGCUAAAAUAAGAGCUGCAUAGUGUAUCAUCCUCCAAGGAGACAUGGGAGAACAGUUGCAGUUUUAUCAUUAAUGAAACCUGAAGGAAAUCAUGUGAUCUGCUUGGAUAUUAUUUCAAAGUUGUUUCUCAAACUAUGCUCUGACUUCUGAAUGAAAAUAAUAUAAUAAGCAAC